UAUUUAGUAGAAACCUCUAUUUGAGGCUGGCCAUUAUGCUGAAAAAUGCAGAAAUAUUGGAAUAGACCAAUUGCUAUCAAAGCAAUAAUUUUGCUUUGGGUUAUUUUGCAAAAAUUACUUUAAUUAAGGUUAGGGAAAAUUCUAGCUAAUUCGAAAACUUACGGCAAUGCUUUGUUAUAAUGUGAUAUUCUUCCUACAUCUCAUCCCUUAAAUACCCUAUGUUCCCGGCCCUGGUAUUCGUUAAUCGGCCACUGAGAAUACUUUCUUUCCUACAUGAAUCGCCGAAUCGCAAAAACAUCACAAAGCGCUCUGCGAUCCUUGUCAAAUUUUUUUAUGGAAGAGAGGCCGAGAAAAUUGGCGCGCUUUUUCUUGCUCGUUUCCAAUCCCAAGUCCUACCUCAAAUCAAUCUAAUCAGUGAAUCAAACUCGAAAGAAAAGCAUUGCAGAAAAUGGUUCGGUCAGUAAAAAGAAGAAACGAAGAUUCUUCAAAGAGUCAAGUGACAGCCAAGAAAGGAAGUCAUUUGAAACCAACCGGUGAAAGUCAAAAACGGAAAUCAAAGCUGAAUAAUGUCAUUCUUGAUGGUGGUUGGGAUGAUGAUGAUGAAGAUGAUGGCAGUUUUUUCAAAAAUUUCUUGAAAUUAAAAGGAUUUUCAUUUGAAAAAGAUGAAAUAAGAUUUAAAUCAGAGGAAGACCAAGUAGUUUUUCAAAAGGAUUUUCAAAUUUCCUUAAAAAGUCACAAAAAUUAUCCACAGGUAGUGGACUUGUUUGUUGAUGGAUUUGAGUCUUUCAUUAUAGAAAAUAACAGAUUUAUACUCUGUCUUGUUCCAAUAUCACGAUCAAUGUCUGAUGAAACAGUCUCGUCGAGCAAAUUUUGUGAAAGCCUUGCCAAAGUACUUCUGGGAAUUGAUAUGUUACAGGCAAAAAUUAUCAAUUGCCUAAUUGAGAAGCUCGCACUAUUGUCGUACAAGGAUGGCUCGGUCAGUUGUAAUUAUCAAGGACGUAACUUGGACAUUGCUCAGUUGAUAAUUAAUCAAUUUAGGUGGAUGAAUCAUAUUGUUGAAGAAAAAGUAUUGUAUUCCAAGCUGUUUGAGGUGAUUUCAGUCUCGGAAUUAGAAAUACAGAGAAUGCUAAUACUUUGCUUACCCGAUCUAAUCAGUGACUCGAAACACGCGGAAGUGUGCCAACAGCUAAUGGAAAUACUGCAGCAAAAUUCACAGCUCACAGCAUCAGUGAUCGAAGCAUUCACUAGUCUAAAUCUCGCUGGAUCUUUGCUCACAGAGGUUCGUCAGUCCGUCUUGGAUAUUCUAGACUCCGCGAAUAUGGAAGAUUGCCCUGCCUGUGUUCGAUUCAUACUGCAGUCCAUUGGCGACGAAGACUGUGUUCAGGUAAUUGGUGCUCUAAGAUCAAGGUUGGUUUUUGAAGAGGAAAAUCUUUAUAAUGCUCCAGGCUUUUGCUCAACCGCCAGGGAGAAACAACAGGAAUGCAGAGAUAAUGAAUCCCUAAUUCUUGACUUCAUAAAGCUUGCAAUCCGUUUUCAAAAGUCAGUUGCAAGUGGAUGGUUGAAGGUUAUUGAAAGUGUUAAUGACCCUGCGCAAAGCAAAAUUGUAGACUUAUAUGUAUUAGUUGUCAUUCACGGCAUCAGCAUCAAGAAGAAGUCGGUUGAAUCUUUACUCAGGCAAAAGCUCAAAUCGAAUGCAUUAAGCAAAGCUCUGGUGACGAAAGCAUUCACCUCUCAUAGUCAGGCAUUUAUAGACCUAUUCAAGGAUGUAUUAUUAAUUGCUGAGACGUUAUUUAGGUCUCCAGAAAUCGUCAUCUCAAACUUCGGGUCCAAAAUCUACGAACAAGCCUUUGUAAAUUUCGAUUCUUACUGUCAACAGGAGGUUAUCGCAGCGUUAGUAACACACAUAGGAAGUGGACUUGAAAAUGACAUUGAGUCAGCGUUUGAUGUUCUUAGCCAAUUGGUUGAAGCACAUCCAAAUAAAAUGGCACCGUUUGCAAUUUUUUUAAAGGGUAUACUGGAUCAUUUGAACAACCUCACAAUCUCUCAAAUGCGCCGCCUAUUUUCAAUGAUAAGUUCCAUUGUUAUUCAGCAUACGAAAUCAGGAACCGUGUUUGAGGACGAUAUGCAUAUUCUUAUUCGGAAGAGAAUGUCAAAUCCAUCGUUAAAGAACAAGAGAAUCGGCAUCAUUGGUUCCGUCAUGAUUGCAGCUAGUAUGUCAAAGAAAAGAUCUGUUGCCAAAGGUGACGAGAAUCUUAAUUUCUCAAACUGUCCAGAGACAUCACGUGAUUUGGAGACAAGUGCUCUAAAAGAGUUGAUUAAUCUUCUGGAAAUGACGAGAAGUUGCGCAAGUAAAGAUCCUGAAGCAGCAGCUCUAUUCUACGAGGAAUUGUCAGCCGUUGUCGCAGGAAAGCAAGUACAUCCACAGAUUCUGCAGUGGAUAACUCAAACGGUUUCCGAAAGUUUUCAAGAUGCGUUCGUGAUAGCAACUGACAAUUUUAAAACCACCGACAAUCUUGAGUUAUUAUUCAAUAUCGAGGAAGAAAGUUCUAUUGCCAUCAACCUAUUCCCAUUGCUCCUUAAUGACCUACAAGAAGGACAGCAGCUGUGCUCCUCGAGCUCUUCUGUAGCAAAAGCGUCUGCUAUCACCUACAUGAGCCCUCUGUUUCGUCUUCUCGCAAUUUGUGAAAGUGUAAGUAAUGACGGAAAUUUGGAAGAGAUAGAAGCAUUAUUAGGUUGUUCCUUGAUUCUGUUUGGCAGAGAAAACCUAGACAAAUUAAAUUCUGUUAGCACAGCGGACAAGGAGCUUAUAUGCAAAGGCCUGUUUUACACAAUCAACUGGUUAAGAGAGGUUGUUAAUGCAUUUGCUGAUCAAGAUGAUCCUUCAAUAAGAGGCAAAGUUAUUUGCCGGAUCAAGACUAUUGCAUCACUUGGGGAAAUAUUAAAUAAGAUUCUUCCAGAUCUUCCGAAUUUCAUACCACCACGUGCAGUUUUUGAUGCUGAAGAUACCCCUUUCAAACCGCUUCAGAUAUCUAACACGUGCAAAGGAAAACGGAAAAGGAAAGCACAAAGAAAAGAAACUACCUACAAAGACUUGUCAAAUGCUUCAUUGAAAGAGAAGUGUACAGAAAACGAAAGAGACAGCGUUUCAGAGGAAAAAACUGAGGAUCCAAUUGACCUAGGCCCAGUUUUCCAAUGGUGGAACUAUCGAUGCUUUUUAAGAGAAUUCGACAUGAAGGUUUUUAAGGUCUUGCAGUACGGCUCUGUAUCAAAAAAUGUCUUGGACUCAGAAAUGAAUACCAAGGAAACUGAGAUCAUUUCCUUAAGUCCAGCAAGUCUUCAGAUGCUGUUAAAGGAUCUGGAAUGCAAAGCUUUAUAUGCAAUACCUUCUUCGAAAGCUGUUAGAAAAUCUCUUUUGAAGCGAAAUGCCAAUAAAGACAUUGGGUUUUCCCGGUUGUGCCAACUUUCAAGUACACAAGCAGCUGAAAUGUUUAUCGACUUAGUUCCAUCUUUGUGCAGUAAUUUAGAAGAAAUAAAUGCCCAUUUCCAGUGCAUGCAAGAUAAAUCUGACGGUCAUAUUGUUACCUCCAAUAAUGAUGAAAAAGAUCCAAGUGAUGCCAUGCUAUCCAGCUUCCAGUCGAUAUUAUCUUGCUUUCAGAGAAUACUGUCUUGGGAUAGUCUCAAAGAUACUGCUUGCACUUCCCAUCUGAAGACUUUUUUAAUGCAUAUAGCCUGUCGAAUUCAAAGUUUUGAUAAAGAUGAAGCCACUAUACCAACGAUGUUGAGGGUGGUGGUGCACUACUUUGCUGAAUUGUGUUCAAAUGCAAGUACCCUAGUGACAACUUGCUUAGUUUUGAAAAUAUUGGAUGCAUUACAGGGGUUCGAUGAAAGUGAAUAUACUAAAACAACAAUUUUCACCAUUGCUGAUGAAAGCUUAAGAAAGGAAUGGGUGAAUGAACAAAACUGGAAUAGACUGUUGUACAAUGAGGCUCUUUCAAACAUCAUGAAGUUGCAUUUAGAUACCUCUACUAAGACACUAGACGUUUUGGAGCAAUAUACAAGUUUUUUGGGAGACUUUUUGGAUCAGGGAGCUUGCCAGUCGAUGCUGCCGUGUUUAAAUAAAAACACAUUUAAUAUAUUUUACAAAGUUUUGAGUGAACACCUGCCACUUGUUAUGAAAAGAGAUUUGUCAUGCAAGAGCAAUACUGUUUUUGAAUCAGAGAGUUUGCAAAUAUUAGAUUCUACAAAAUGUUGUGUCAAGAUAUUCAAUUCGUUAACUUGUUUUGUUAAGGUGGUAGAAACACGAUCCGUUCUUGGCAGUGCCCUAAAGACCGGUUUCACAUUCAUUUUGGAUUUGAAGUUGGUUCGAGAAAAAAGGUUAAUGACGAUCAAACUUGACAGAACAGUUACGGGAUGCGGCGAUAAGAGGUAAACAAUGACUCUGUUUUUAAGCUUUAACCAUUCUGAGCGCCUGAACACAGCUUAAAUACACCAGUUUGAUGGCAGAAAGGUUUUUGAAUGUGAAGGAAAAGUUAAUAUGUCUAGGAAGGUAAUGUGCUCUGCUGAGAUGCAGCAAAACUUUUUGCAACUCACAUGGAAUACACCUUUUCAAUAUCCGCAUGUUCAAUUUGCAUAAAGAGACUGGGGUGAGCAACCGGAUGAAAAAGUUGCCAGGGGCCGAUGUUUACAUAUGGAUACUAUGUUUACUGGCAACUAAUCACUGAUCGGAUUAACAUGUAAAGUAUUAAAAUUUGUGAAUUUUCACUUUUUAGCCUGUUAUCUCGAGAACUAUUGAAGGUUGUCAUACCUUCCAGAGCCACCCCCAUAGCACCAACCUGCAUACAGAAGCAAAAUAUCACACCAUUGAGUCUUAAAUGGGGCUUGCCGAACAUAAUAAUAUUUGUUAUAUGUGAAGAAUACCAAAUGGGGAGAGUGGAAUUGUGCUAAGUGGUAUUGUUAAACUAAAGGCCAUCAGCAUUUAAACUUGGACAAAGGCAUGUGCUGACCAUGUGGUUGUUGUUGAAACCCCCCAUAUCCAGACAUCAAAAUAUGUGGAAUGCUAACCUUUUGCGACGUAAAAUGUUUAAUGAAUCUUUCCUAGAAGAACUAAAAUCUUUCGAGUUUCUUUUAAGCAGUGUUUUUCUAGACAAUAUGUUUGUAUUUUUAAGGUCUUGAUUUCAAGGAAUUCACACAAUUGAAAAAAGUUAAAUGCUGCCUCGGCCUAUUUUUCAAGAUAGAAACCAGAGGGAGUUGGCUGAAAAAUUGUCGAAGAAUGCCUUCAACUGGCUUGAAGAGCAUGACAAAAAAGAAUAUGUUAGAGUUAGAAUGGCCUUCACUUCAGACACCAUUUCUCUAUUAGAUAACAGCUGUUCGCAGACUUUGAAAAUGGAAUAAAUUUAGAAAAUUGUUGCAUCGUAUACGCGGGUAAGAAACAAAACUUCUGAGAUCUUCAAAGCACUUUCCUUUUACUUCAAAGGGAUGCGUGGCAAGAGUAUCAUCAGAUUAUAACCUUACUUUUGAAGUGAGGCCUCGGUCUUGCGUGAGCUUUUGUUAGAUCAAACAUCCUGAUAUUGGUUUAUACCCAAGGUUUAUAGCUUAAAUCUUUUGAACUAUACACUGUGAAAGGGGUGGAAAAAACAAUUUUUAAUUGUGACAUUUUCAUAGUAAUUGAAAAAAUGAAUAAAGGCCAACUAAAUCCCAAACAGCUCUCGAAUACAAGGUUAUAGAAUUUGUUGUAAUGUUAUUCGACUUUAUAGAUAAAUCUAGAGCACUUGAAAAAGUGAAAUUUUUUAUAUUUCUAAAACUGUUUCUAUUUCCGUUUUCAUUUUUAUUUGUUCGUGUGAGGUAAUGAAAUUUCAAUUUCAAAUUUUUGCUCACAAUCUACUGCUGUCAUUGUGUCUUCAUUUUUGUGAUAUGGAAGAUAAAGCAAAUUGUGCCUUAUUCAAUAAAGAUCUGCUAGAUGGUCAACCAUUUGUUGGUUUACGCGAAAAGGGAACAAAUAUCACAAAAAGAAAAUGAAGAGCGUAAAAGUACCAUACAGUCUACAGCUGGACAAAUAGUACACUGGAAAUUCCGAAAAGAAUAUAACAGCCCAUUUGUAUUUGAUUGCGAAAAAAGAAAAAUUAAUGAGAAUUCACUGAUUCAAAACCUUGCAAGCGGUCACAGGGUUCUUCAAAGGAUUUCCUACGCAAGGCCAUUUUUUGGUUAACCUAGGAAAUCUAGAGGCAAGCAGGGGCCCUUUGAAUGUAUUCCUGUGCGACUCGUGAUUUCCAAAGAACUAUUUCUACAGCUUUGCCAAGAGAGAUUAAAAGAAUGGCCAUUUGCAGUUUCAGGUGGAAUGGAGUAUGCUCAGGACCUAUAUUUGGCUGAAGGAUUUUUCUGCCAUAGUGAGGACUUUCGCACAGGCAAGAAGUUUCCAUCACAAUUUGCUACUGAGCACGAGACUGGCAAAAAGAGGAGGCCUGAAAAAUGCUAUUCAGAAUGAAGAUUUGCAUUAAGAGACAUGGUACUUUCUAGAGAAUGACAAUAAGCAACUUACAAUUGAUAACUUAUGCAAGAAACUGAGAGAAUUUCUUGAUAAAGACAAGGUGCUCUACAGUAGAAGGUAUACGAGGACGAGAUGAAUUUGACCAUUCUAAAGACCAGGUUAUCAUAGCCGGACGGAUUUGUAGGUUAGAUGUUGCAUCUCUUUGCACUACAUACAUACAGACACAUUUCAUUCAAUCUGCGAGAGAUGUUAUCGUGCAAGAGAUAGGAAGUCAAAAGCAUAAAGUCUGAUUGACACAGUUCAGAUUGGGGCCUUAGCACACAUUCGUGACACAUCGUCUAUCUAGAUAGUCAAAGUCAAUCUUCUUGCUGCCGUCCCUGACUACAGUUUUCCACACCAUGCGGUCAAAUGCCAUUGCUUCCCAGUCUUCCAGGGGUGUGUUCAUUUUCGUGAGAUCCCUCUUGGCACAGUCUUUGAACCUCAGUUUGGGCUGUUCUCUCUGUCUUGACCUGCUGCUUAGCUCACCAUCGAGUAUGUCUUAUGGCAGCCGCCUGUCCUCCACCCAAUGUGGAACAUUGAAUGGCUUCUUGCGCGGGGACAUGGUCCUUCCAGGACGCACCGAUGAUUCUGCAGAGAUUGCACAUAUGAAAAGAGUUCAACUUCCUUUCGUGUUUAGUGUAUGUUGUCCAGGUUUCGGAUCCAGAAAGAAGUACACUCAGCAUGCAGGUCUGAAAGGAACGUGUCUUUGUUUUCUCAGUAAGUUGUUUGUUGUUACAGGCACGAGCACGUAGCUGGCUGAAGGUGGUUGCCGCUUUGCUGAUUCGGACAUCUGUCUCUCUAUCGAGGGACAGAUCAGUACUGAUGGUGGAGCACAGAUAACAGAAUUGGUGGACAACGUUCAACUUUUGGUUUUCCACUUGGAUUGCUGGGCUGUCGGCUGUUGAGCAAUUCAUAGCAACCAUUUUCUUGGUGCUCUGUCUCCAUAGGCCACGCUCAGUCAGUCUAUAAGAAUUUUGCAGACCUUCCGGACCGUGGGAAACAAAAACGCCAUCAUCAGCGAAAAGUAGCUUUUUUACAAGAACUCGGCGUACUUUUGUUUUGGAUUUAACUCGGCGUACUUAGCUAUUGAAUUGUUUUUACAAAUUUUACUUUUGGUAAAGAUAUUGAUGCUAAAUUUUGUAAGAUUGGUCAAGCUUUGAUACAAAAAUGAAGACCAAAGAUGCCUCUGGUGCAUCUACUGCUUGGUUUAGGUAAGCAACUCCAUCAUAACGGAACCUUUCAUAAAGACUCUUGAUAGACAUUGUUUUUAAGCUUGGUUUUCUUUAUCAUACACUGAAGUAGAAACGUUCAUGCAAUAUGCUGCUGUUUCACAGAAAAUUGGCGUCGAGUAUGUUGCCAAUUGCACUUUUGUUCAAUUUGCACUGACAUUGUUGAUCAUGAUAAUUGAACGUUUUAGAGGGCCGGAGGGCCGUGCUAUCUUUCGGGUAAUGGCGAUAAGGGCAUGGUGAUGACGGCCACCUUUACACAAGCCGCUCCACUGGAUCGUUCAAUUGCCUUCAAGAAACUUGUUGUUGUUGUAAAUUUUUUUUACAUCGAUCACAAAUAGUUGCAAAUAGUCUACAAAACACAAAUUUACAGCUAAACUAACCUACAUCGAUGGCUAAGGUAGAUUUAAAAUAGGUUUACUGAAACAAUAGGUUGGUUAAAGUCAAGUUUUAAAAAUCGUAUAAUUUUCUAUGUGGUUUAUACAUUAUUUACAAUAAAACAACAGGCAUUGCUGUUAUCCGCAGGGUCAUCCCAUUGUUUUAUCAAACGUUUGAACGUUUUUAGGUUGUCUGACGAUUUUUUUUCAUUUGGCAAAUAGUUCCAGAUCUGUAGUCCUAAGAACUUGAAGUGAUAUUAUUGUAAAUGGAAGAAUCAAGAGUCAAGGGCUUGCGAGUAAUAGCUGAGAAAAUUUAUGCAUGCUACUCUGUUCUCAUAUGCCAUUCUUAUUAGAAACAUCAGCUAAUGUCGUCUACCAGUUUUCAGUUACAAGAAGUUUCAGAUAACGCAAUAGCUGUCGAAGUAUUUGCAAAGGAUUCCCGGAAUUGAUAUCUGCUGAUGAGAACCUGCUGCAAUUUUUAACAAUAAUCACAGCCAUAUCGAAGGUAUACAAAAAAUAGAAGGUGGGAAUAUAUUUGCAGAUGAUAUACAAAACACACGUGUACACCCUCGCUGCAGUAUGCAGAAAUGAUCAAGAUAUUGCAAAACUUCUUAUUUGUUAAGCCUAACGGUCUGCAUUUAAAAUCAUUCCAGCUGAUGCUACCCUUCUUUGCAGGAGCAGGCUUUAAUCUUUAAGCCAAAAGUUCUUAUCUAAACCUGCAACUAAUGAAUGAGUUACCAGAGAAAAUCCUUAUUUUUGUGGAACAUUUUAACAUAGCUUUCAUGUUGAUAGACAAAGUGCUCACAGUUACACCGGCCAAAUGACACGGUAGCCAAGGACACGACGGCUAAAAGACACGACAGCCAAACGACACGGCGGCCAAAUGACACAUCAACCAAAUGACACAGCGGCCAAACGCGUGGAAAUUGAAUCACAGAACUCGUGACUUAACUGGAUUCUGAACAAGCCUGUUUUUGCAGAUGGCAAUAUAGCAAUGCAGCAAUUUCUUAGGGUAGACAUAGUCAUAAGAAAAAGAUAGUCUGGAAACGAACAAUCGAUCAUUGUUCUAUCUUUUUGUUAACAAAUCAAGACUAGUACCCAGUUCUCUACAUGCACACGAUUUUAGGCCGCUUUUCUCACAGUUUGUGUCACGCUAUGGCCGAUAAUGCUUAGUUUUUCGUAAAAAUGCCAGGUGAUAACUGUUCGAUUUAUGGCUGUCCAGUUUCAAGAAGAUGUAAAUAUAAAGGUAUAUCGUUAUUUAAAAUUCCAUCAGGCGAAGGAAAGUUUGAAACCGAUUGGAGACAGAAGCUCGUUGCUGUUAUUACUCGAGAUAGAGUCAUUGACGGACCGCUGAGAGCCCGAAUUAAUAACAAAAAAUUGUUCAUUUGCCAACGUCAUUUUGCUGAGGAUCAGUACCAUCGUCACGACAAUAAAUGCACAUUGGUUCCUGGUGCUAUUCCCGCUCUGAAUCUUCCCGUUAAAAGUAUUUCUUCCUCGUCUUCUGCAAGUAAACCUCGCAAAUCAGCAGAUGCUAUCCUAGACAAGAAAUCAUCGCAUGCAAGUUUUUUGGAGCCAUCAGGCCUAGUUGAACAACAGUUUGAAUACUAUAAUUCUUUCGGUGAAUUUGCAACUCGUGCCCGUGCUCUCAAGCUUGCUGGUUGGAAUAUUUCUACUGAUUUGAGCAGCAGUCUUUCAUUCACUUUCGCUGAUCAUGUUCAUAUGGUACCAAAGUACGAAAUUCAUGUCGAAGAAGAUCUUUCCUUCACAGUUCGUAUGCUCCUGUAGAGUCUUCCUGCUUCUCAUGCUUUGUACGCUGAAAAUCAACGUUCUGUGAGAUAUAUUACAAUAUCUAAUUUGAUCAAAUCUACAAUAUCUUUGGAAAUUUGCCCAGGCUUACCACAUCAGUUUGUUGGUGGUUGCAUUGAGCAUUCCGUACCCAAGGUGUAUAACAGCACAAUAGAUAACCUUUUACAUCAAAGUAAAUGGUAUCGCCCACCUUCUUGUCUUGUUUUAAUUUCUCAAUCUUCUGUAAAGUGUGCAGAGUGCAUGAUUGUAGAGUCAAAAGAGAAACUGAGUUUGAAAAGGAAGAGAGAUAAUUUAGCACUUCCUGCUAAAUUAAAAGCUCCAAUUUCUUCAACAUCCUCAGAGCGUGUGAAACUUACCAUGCAAAAUUACCGUUUUGAAAACAAGAAAUUGAGAGAGGAAAUUAUUAUCAUGAAAGAAGAAAUCAUACAAAAUUCCCUGAAAGUUGAUGAUAACAUUAGUAAUGACUUAAUAUCCAUUAUGUCUGGUGCUGAUAAAAGCAGAAUUCCUCCUUUUAUGAAACUAUUCUGGAAAGAACAGCAAAAAUAUCUAUCGACAUCCAAAACUAGUGUUCGCUAUUACCCCAUGAUAAUUCGGUACUGCUUAGGUCUGGCUGCCAAAUCUCCAGCUGUUUACGAUGAGAUUCGCCUUGAUGAAAAAACAAACAGUGGGUUUGUGGUUUUGCCAAGUCGCAGACAACUCCGAAACUAUAAAAACUAUAUUCGUCCGAAGCAAGGUUUCAAUAAAGACAUUAUCCAAGAGUUAUCAACCAUCGUAUCUCAGUUCCAGGAAAUUGAGAAAUAUGGCAUCAUACUGUUAGAUGAGAUGAAAAUUAAAGAAGAUUUAGUUUGGGAUAAACAUACUGGAGAAUUAUCGGUUUUGUUGAUUUGGGUGAUCCUGAGCUCAAUUUUGCAACUUUAAAGAAAUCUAAUGAAUUAGCAUCACACGUAUUGGUUUUUCUGUUGAGAAGGAUUGUCAACCCUUUGAAAUUUUCAUUUGCCAAUUUUGCCACUACAAAUGCAAAAUCAACCCAACUCUUUGCAUUAUUUUGGAAAGCAGUUGGGAUUCUUGAAGAUAAGUGUGGUGUGAAAGUUGUUGGUGUCACAAGUGAUGGUGCAUCUGCAAACAGAAGUAUGUAUCGGAUGCAUUUACAUAUGACCCGUGUUGAAGAUGUAAACACAGGUGUAGAUGUUAUCUACCGCACACGCAAUGUUAUGGCUCAGGAAGAAAGAUACAUCUACUUUUUUGCAGAUCCUCCUCAUUUGCUCAAAACUGCAAGAAAUUGUCUUCGCAACUCUUUUGCUGGGUCAUGCAGCAGAGGCAUGUGGAAUAAUGGGGAUUUCUUGACAUGGAAUCAUAUAUCAAAGCUUUUCUAUGAUGGUGUAGAUUGUGGCUUGCAUCUGGUGCCAAAACUAACAAAUGACCACAUCAAUUUGUCAAGCUUCUCUGUCAUGAAUGUCAGGCUUGCAGCUCAGGUUUUGAGUGAGUCAGUAUCACAAGCCGUUCAAACAUUUGGUCCAACUGAAGCACAUGCUACUGCCACAUAUUGCCAAAUGUUUGAUAAAUUCUUUGAUUGUAUGAAUGUAAGGAACACUACAGAGUUUGGUAAAAAAGCAAAGCCCUUUUUGAAGCCCUACAAGUCCAAACAAGAUGAACGCUUUAUAUGGUUGACAAAUGUCUUCCUGAAAUACCUUGCAGACUGGAAAGAUUCAGUUGAUGCUCGCCCUGGUGUUUUUUCUCAACAUGAUAGAGAAAAAAUGUUCAUCUCUUGGCAAACACAUGAAGGUGUAAAGAUUACUGUACACUCCUGUAUUGAGCUUCUCCAGUACCUACUUCGGAAAGGUGUGCCAUACAUUUUGACCGAACGAUUCUGCCAAGACCCUUUGGAAAAUUACUUUGGGCGUCCGAGAUCACUUGGUCAUCGGAAAGACAACCCAUCACUGCGUGACAUAGGCUACAAUGAUAACACAAUCCGCACAACCAAACUUUUUCAGCCGAUCACAGGAAACUGUUACAAUGAUGAUUCCAUGAAGUAAAAAGAAUGAUGUUACCCAACCCUCCAGCCCAAGAAGUAACAAGAAAGCUAAUAGAAAAAAAUUAUGUACAUGUACAAGAAAAGAUUCUCAUUAUCAUUAAAUAGCUAACAAUAUCAGGUGAUUAAAGGAGAUUAGAAAUAAAGUCUACUAAGGUAAAUCAAAAACCUUACAGAAUCAACAGUUCCCAUAUGUAACACUUUAAAACAUAAACAAUACUUAUAGGAUUUAGAUAUCUGAUAUUCAAAUACUUAUAGGACUUAGAUGGGUUGAUACACUUUUUAGUUGUGUAUAGUAACAAUGUUAUCUUUUCCAGGAUCAAUGUUUUCAAUUUUAUUUGCUUCAAUAUUCACAUAUUUCCAGAUUGACAAAUUACAAAGUUUCUUUUGUAUAUUUAUAAGGCCCUAUAGUGAUAGUGAUACAUGCCCCAGUAUGUUGAAGGGGCUUAUGUUCUUAGGCUGUCUUUAUACCUGAAAAUUCAAAUUUAGUAUAUAUUUUUAUAUAAAAGUGUAUGAGUGUAUGUAUGAACUAUGGUGCUCUGCUAAUAAAAGUCUGAGACAGCUCUUACCAAGGCCUGGGGCAUGAAAUGGCUUUAUAGCAACAAUAUUUUGUCUAAUAUUUAACUUUUUGAUCACUUCUGUUUCCCAUAAAUCUUCUCAACACUUUCAUUGUAUUUAAUUUAAAUUUUUUCAAUAAUUUUUCAAAAGUGGAUUUUAAAUUACAGUGGGGUAUAACAAGAUAAUUCGCACAAACAAGCUUUUGGUUACAAGCCUUAUUUUUAUGAACUUUGAUCUGCCAUGUCUUCAUUUUUUUAUCAACAUGUCUGGAGUUCCGUUUUCUUUGCAAUAAAAUCUUUGUAUGAAUUAUAUAAACAUAUAUAUAUACACUUGGUAAGCAAAAGUAUUGCACAGGCUGAGACAGAAAUGGCCGCUCCGCAGCAAAAACUUUUUAUCAAACCAAAAUUAAAGUGGCCAUAGUAAGUUUCAUAAAAGUUAUAAGAUGACUUUUUAACUGGAAUAUGUUGGAUAAUUUAUCAAGGUUUGCUGGUGAAAUAGUUUAUGCAUGAAUAUUCUUGAUUUUUGCCUAUUUCUAAACAAUCAACAUAUCGCAAAAACAAAAAAAAUUGAGCCAUGAUGAUUGAAGUACCUGUGAAACAUUUGCAAUAAAAAGUUCAUCUUUGCACCAAUUUGCGAUAUCUUCUUAUAAUGAACUCGGGGGUACUUACUUUAUGCUUGGGUGUCUAGAACUGCUCAUUUUCCUCACUUUUGUUGGAGUAUCUGCUAAAUGUUUUGGUCGGAAAUUUUUGGAGCAACAAUGGGCCUAAUCGCAGCGGCCGCUUCGUUAUAUAUUGCAGCAAAAUUCAAUCAAUAAAAUGUGUCACAAAUCGUAAAGUCCAUCUUUUCCAACCGAUUUCCAUUUUGCAAUGGGAACAAAUAAUGUUGCAAAUUGCGUAAAACAACAUUUCGUCCUCUCAUCAAAUGAAAAUACCAAAUUUCCCGCGAUAAACAGGCUCACUCAAGUGCCUCAAUAGCUGUAAAAGAGUAGGCGUAAUAAAAUGGCUUAAAACAUGCCACUUUCCACCAAAUACAAGUCCAUUUAUGAUCAACUUGGUACUUCAAUACCUUAAUGUGAUCUUGCAAAUGUUUUUCUGAACUUAUCAUGUCGCGAUUAAUAGAACCUGUUACUAAACUUUUUGAUAAAGUUUUGGCAAGUCUCUCAAAGGUUUCGAAGCUGGGAGACUGUUCAAUAAAAAGUUAAAAAAUUUUAUUUUUUAAAAAGUAACUUUUUCAAUUUCUAAAUUAAAAGUGUUGUCAACGGUUUGAAGUUUGGUUUGAUUAGAUUUUAACCAUAAAAAGACUCCUAAUGGCUUCACAAAAGUGGUUUGAAUUUCGAUCGCUUUGUUGUUGCCAACGCGGUCGCCAUUACUGAAUUGUCAAACCCGUGCAAUACUUUUACUCACUAAGUGUAUGUAUAUCAAACACAAUUAAGAUUCCUUCAAAAGUUGAUGUUUUCCUAUAGAAACCUAUUUUUUUGAAAAAAUUACACAUAAUCUAGCAGUAUUAAGUUAUAUAUACUUCAGGAGUUGAUUUGAAUUAAUGAAACUGUUGUUUUUUAGAUUGUGUAGAUAGUUUGUUUGAAAUUAACAAGAUACCUAGAUGUCCUAUGUCAUAUAGAGUGGUCCUACAAUUAACACAUGAAACACUGAAUACGAAUUGUGAAUAAUCAUGCAUAAAAGGGCAUUACAUAUAAGGUCCUUAAUGCCCUUUGGUCAAGACUCCCUGUUGUUUUUUUCAAUUCUGUGCGAAGUGAUCUUGAUUUCUUAUUCCUUGAUUGGAUUUUAUGCACUUCAACCUGGUCAUUAAUAUGUGAAAAUGUUCUGACACGAACAUACAGCAUUAUCAUAUGUUCCCGCAAAUUCAAUGCUACUUCCUUCUUGACUUUCUCUGAAGCUUGAUUGCAUAAAAUCUUGUAAUUUGCCAAAACAAUCGGAUUUUUCAUUAAAUCAGAUACCAACUGUUUGCUAUCAAUUCUUUUGCUCAACGUAUUCACAAACUGCCUGAACUUUGUUUAAACAAGUGUAAAGAUAUUAAAUGCCUCAGAUGUAACAUUCCAAAGCCCCCCUCUAUCUUUGGCAUUUGUGAACAAGCUUUUUCCAGACGAGCUGCUUUCUAAAGCUGACUUUCCAGCAAGUAAAAUGCUGAGACUUUGAUUUCCAAGCAUAUUCUUUGUGUUAUUUGAUCGCCUGAUACGUCGAUAAACUGUACCAAAAACAAAGCCACUCAGGUACUGGAUAAGAUUGACUUCUUUUACUGAAAAGGGUACAUGUUGACUGGAACCAACAUUACCUUCUUUGACAAUAGCACCAGCUAGAUGUGACAAAACAUGAUUUGCAACUUCAAACCCCAAGAUAACUGAGCCCCAAUGGGAAAGAUUCUUAAAAACUGCUUCAUCCGAAGACACACAUCUGUAAAAAUCUGGGUAGAACUUUUCAGCGCUUCCCUUGAAAUCGCCAAUAACGCCCCUAACGUGCUGGUAGGAAAAUUUUGCAUCAGCAAAACUGACUUGGUACUGAGAGAACUCGGCGCGCAACUUAUCUGAGUAACAUUCGUCAGAAGCCAACUUAGCAACGCUGGUUUCAAUAAACUUCUUAAAAGAUAAGUGGAUGAAGUUUUUGCUCUGGUGUUUUAGCAUUUGACAUGGCAAAACCUUCAGCGUUUGGCUGAACAUCAACAUGUGCUACAUUUCUGUGACGGGUUAGUCCUCGUUUUGUUUUGCAAAUUUUGUCGCACGUCUCGCAUGGAAAUCCUUCAACAGGAGGAGUUGAUUCUAUUUCAUCCAUUAAAACAUUCAAAUCAGCAUCAAAAGCUUCACUUUCUAUCUGUAAAUCUGUAUCAAGAUUUGCCAAAAGAGCAUCUAAAUCGUCCCCAAAGAUAAUGUGCACGUAGAAGACUGGGUACGAGUUAGCAUCAACAUUGGAAAGCAAACAAUAGCUGAAUUCAAAAGACAGUUGUUCGUUUCCAGACUAUCCCUUUCUUAUGACUAUGGGGUAGAAUACCAAAUCAGUGAGCAACAUAAGGAUUUGCACUAGCCAAGGACACGAAUUCACAAAGAAGAUAUCAUGAAGACAUAAAAUGGUUUGCCUGUUCUUUGGCGCUAAAAUCCCUUUGCAAACGAUACAUCCCUGAGAAGCAUUGCAACAGGUUUAGUUGAAUACUAUGAAUGCAAAAUGAUACUGUCAAUGCACUUGUGAAAGAUGACUGAAUUUCCAUUGAAGGUAAUUGGCUCACAUAAUAUUCAUGCUAAGAGUGAUGCAGAAGUUUUGCUUGUCAAGAGAACAAUUAGGAAAGCAAAGAAAAUCAAACCAUAUUUGUUGGGGAUAAUACAGAUUUUCUAAUCCUACUCUUAAAUCGUGCAGCAGACAAAGACCCAGAAUUCAAAGUGGUGAAUGUCUUGGGAUAUCUUAAGGACGAAGCAGCUUUGAAAGAAACAGUCUCUCAACAUAUUCUGUAUAUCUCUCAUCUAUGGAUCUUGGAAAAAGCAAUUACUUUGAAAAUUGUGAGACAUAUUAAAGAAUUUCAUCAGCAGGCUAAGAUUUUUAAAACUCGCAGUCAAGGAGAAGACAUUAAAAAGGCGAGGGAGAAGACUUUAGUUUGCUUGUACAACUGAACCGAUCACAUGUCCCUUGAUAGCCUUCGGUUCAAAGAUUUUGCAAGAAAGUUGCCAAUAAAGUUCAUUUGUUGAAGCCCAGAGCCUACCACCAACAUUAAAGUCCACAAAGUACAACUGUGGAGAGAAAAAGCACGAGAAACUCCAUCCAAAGGACUGGGCUAGAUGCUUACAGACGAAAAGUUAAUGCAAACUAAGAUAGAUCUACUGCAACACCUAAAGAAGUCUGAAUUUGCAGCCAACGCCCAAAUUAGACCACAUCCAAAGCUGUCGAUUUAUAAAGACGACAAAACUCAAUUCAGGUUUAAAAUUAUAAAUAACUUACCAUUAUAUUCUCCUGACCAAAGUUACUUCCUUUCGUAAGUCGACCAUGUAAUAACCAACUCAAUAAGAACCAAGAAUGGUGGAUUUUAACCUCUAGAAAUAACCUGUGAUUUCAAAGCUUUUCCCACGUUAGACUUUAUUAUACGUUCUUUUACUAUGUUAUAAAACAGCUAUUCAGUAACAUAAGGCUCCAAAAAAAUUAUGUUGCAAUCUGUUCUAGGUUCAUUUCUUAUUUACUCGACCAUGAAAGACAGCAUCCUUUCUGACAAUUUCCUUAUUCUGGUCCUCAACAGGCCUACUUCUUUUCAACGCUUUCACUUAUGAAUUUUUUUGUUAAAGUAAAUUAAAUAUUAGGUUUUCUUUUAUUAUGUUGCUGUGCUAUGUACCUCUUUUGAUGCAGAAUGGUUGCCGGUUCCUGGAGGCAUUUCUUAAAUAUUGCAUGCCUAUUCUCGACUUGACUCUCAAGAAAAAUAAGGAAGAAGUUCACGGGGUUUUAAAGAACCUGCAGCAAAGCACUCGGUCUUUGCAUCACUUCUGUGGGCACUCAAA
Rhopilema esculentum is the source of this 17002-nucleotide non-coding RNA. The record is from RefSeq and is a predicted model, not a curated record. Lineage: Eukaryota; Metazoa; Cnidaria; Scyphozoa; Rhizostomeae; Rhizostomatidae.